This 576-nucleotide ribosomal RNA is filed under the name uncultured eukaryote. Its description in RNAcentral is "SSU rRNA". It matches the Rfam family "Eukaryotic small subunit ribosomal RNA", at positions 174 to 757 of the family's 1831-position model. The record is from RNAcentral.
UAAAAACCCCGACUUCGGAAGGGGUGUAUUUAUUAGAUACAAAACCAAUGCCCUUCGGGGCUCUUUGGUGAUUCAUGAUAACUAUACGAAUCGCACGGCCUUGCGCCGGCGAUGGUUCAUUCAAAUUUCUUCCCUAUCAACUUUCGAUGUUUGGGUAUUGGCCAAACAUGGUUGCAACGGGUAACGGAGGGUUAGGGCUCGACCCCGGAGAAGGAGCCUGAGAAACGGCUACUACAUCCAAGGAAGGCAGCAGGCGCGCAAAUUACCCAAUCCCGACUCGGGGAGGUAGUGACAAUAAAUACUGAUACAGGGCCCUUUCGGGCCUUGUAAUUGGAAUGAGUACAAUUUAAAUCCCUUAACGAGGAACAAUUGGAGGGCAAGUCUGGUGCCAGCAGCCGCGGUAAUUCCAGCUCCAAUAGCGUAUAUUAAAGUUGUUGUGGUUAAAAAGCUCGUAGUUGAACCUUGGGCCUGGCUGGCCGGUCCGCCUCACCGCGUGCACUGGUCCGGCCGGGCCUUUCCCCUCUGUGGAACCCCAUACCCUUCACUGGGCGUGGCGGGGAAACAGGACAUUUACUU